RNAcentral lists this ribosomal RNA (481 nucleotides) under uncultured bacterium. Its description in RNAcentral is "partial 16S ribosomal RNA". It matches the Rfam family "Bacterial small subunit ribosomal RNA", at positions 28 to 523 of the family's 1533-position model. The record is from RNAcentral.
GACGAACGCUGGCGGCGUGCUUAACACAUGCAAGUCGAACGGUGAAAGGGAGCUUGCUCCCUGGAUCAGUGGCGAACGGGUGAGUAACACGUGGGCAACCUGCCCCAGACUUCGGGAUAACGCUUCGAAAGGAGUGCUAAUACCGGAUACGAACUCCUUGGGCAUCCUUGGGGUUGGAAAGUUUUUCGGUCUGGGAUGGGCCCGCGGCCUAUCAGCUUGUUGGUGAGGUAACGGCUCACCAAGGCGACGACGGGUAGCCGGCCUGAGAGGGCGACCGGCCACACUGGGACUGAGACACGGCCCAGACUCCUACGGGAGGCAGCAGUGGGGAAUAUUGCGCAAUGGGCGAAAGCCUGACGCAGCAACGCCGCGUGAGGGAUGACGGCCUUCGGGUUGUAAACCUCUUUCAGCAGGGAAGAAGCGAAAGUGACGGUACCUGCAGAAGAAGCACCGGCUAACCACGUGCCAGCAGCCGCCGUAA